AUGUUUACUGAGGAGGAGGUGUGGAGCACGAUCAAAGAGAUGCCUCUGGACCGCACACCAGGGCCAGAUGGGUUCAUUGGAGCAUUUUACCAGCGCGCCUGUCCGAUCAUCAAGCUUGAUCUCAUGGCGGUCACGCAUAAGCUGUAUGUUGGGGAUGGACGAGGCUUUGGCAAAAUCAACAGUUCACACAUCGUGCUUAUCCCUAAGAAACCGGAUGCUAUGGAGGUGGGAGACUUUCGGCCGAUCAGUUUAACUCACAGUGCAGCCAAGAUUUUUGCUAAAAUGCUCGCAAACCGCGCGAGGCCUCACAUGAAGCAUGUGGUAGCGGCCAACCAAUCCACUUUCAUAAAGGCCAGGAGCCUGCGUGACAACUUCCUUCUUGUAUGCCAAGUUGCUCGGAAGAUCCACAAUUGCAAGGAAGCUGGUCUCUUCCUGAAGCUAGACAUCUCUAGGGCUUUUGACUCCCUAUCGUGGUCGUUCUUAUUUGAAGUUAUUCGGACCAACGGUUUCGGCAAUAGAUGGAUCGGGUGGAUUUCUAUCUUACUGAGAACGGCUUCCACGCAAGUUCUGGUGAACGGGGUCCCAAGGGAAGUUUUCCAGCUGGCGUGUGGUAUGAGGCAGGGCGAUCCUAUAUCGCCGCUGCUCUUUGUCAUAGCUAUGGACGUGCUAACCCUGAUGGUCACCAGGGCGGCUGAGGAGCGAGCAAUCAGCUCUUUCCACGGGAUUUUGGCAGUACAGAGGAUUUUCAUUUACGCGGAUGACGUUGCCCUAUUCAUAAGGCCAUUGAGGGAGGAUUUGCAUUGUGUUUGCUGUGCGCUUGAAGCUUUUGGGGAAGCCUCGGGACUUCAUGUCAAUUACAGAAAAUCAUCGGCCAUCCUCAUCCGUGGCUCUGAGCUAGACAAGACUAGAGUGGCGGCGAUGUUACAGUGCGACAUGUCGGAGUUCCCUUGCAAGUACCUUGGACUACAAUUGGCGAUCAAACAAUUUACCAAGAAUGAGUGGCAGCCUAUGCUAGAUCGAGCAAAGAAAGUGGUCCCGGCUUGGCAAAGAGGGUUGGUCACAAGACCCGGGAGGUUAAUUCUUGUCAAGACGGUCAUGUCCGCAAGGCCAAUACAUCACCUCUUGGUGAUGAACACGCCUCUCUGGGUUUAUGAGGAGCUCAAUAAAUGGAUGAGAGCAUUUUUUUGGACGGCCAAGGAAAAGGUGAAUGGUAGGCAAUGCCUGGUGUCAUGGAGAAAAAUCUGUAGACCGACGUGCUAUGGAGGGCUAGGGGUAAAAGAUUUGCAAACACAUGCACUUGCGCUGCUGGUCAGAUGA
RNAcentral lists this ribosomal RNA (1317 nucleotides) under Triticum aestivum (bread wheat). Its description in RNAcentral is "partial small subunit ribosomal RNA". The record is from RNAcentral. Lineage: Eukaryota; Viridiplantae; Streptophyta; Magnoliopsida; Poales; Poaceae.